AAUGAACGCUGGCGGCGUGCCUAACACAUGCAAGUCGAGCGAGGAGACAGUGCUUGCACUGGGUCCUAGCGGCAGACGGGUGAGUAACGCGUGGGCAAUCUACCUAUGAGUGGGGGAUACCAUUCCGAAAGGGGUGUUAAUACCGCAUAAGCCCGAAAGGGGAAAGUCUGGGAUCGGCGAAAGCUGACCAGAUGCUGAUAGAGGAGCUCGCGUCAGAUUAGCUAGUUGGUGGGGUAACGGCCUACCAAGGCAACGAUCUGUAGCCGGCCUGAGAGGGUGAUCGGCCACACUGGAACUGAGACACGGUCCAGACUCCUACGGGAGGCAGCAGUGGGGAAUUUUGCGCAAUGGGGGAAACCCUGACGCAGCAACGCCGCGUGGGUGAUGAAGCAUCUUGGUGUGUAAAGCCCUGUCGACAGGGAAUAAAACUGUUUGUUUAAGAGAUGAAUAGUUUGAAGGUACCUGUAGAGGAAGCCCCGGCUAACUCCG
RNAcentral lists this ribosomal RNA (489 nucleotides) under uncultured Holophagales bacterium. RNAcentral's name for it is "bacterial SSU rRNA". It matches the Rfam family "Bacterial small subunit ribosomal RNA", at positions 29 to 505 of the family's 1533-position model. The record is from RNAcentral. Lineage: Bacteria; Pseudomonadati; Acidobacteriota; Holophagae; Holophagales.